AUAAACGUUUGCGGCGUGCCUGAUGCAUGCAAGUCGAACGCCCUGAUUUUUCGCAAGAUUGAUCAGGGAGUGGCGAACGGCUGAGUAACACGUAAGUAACCUGCCCUUAAGUGGGGGAUAACUUGCCGAAAGGCAGGCUAAUACCGCAUGUGCUGGUAAGCGUUAGCUUAUCAGCAAAGCUUUUGCGCUUGAGGAGGGGCUUGCGUCUGAUUAGAUAGUUGGUAGGGUAAUGGCCUACCAAGUCGAUGAUCAGUAGCUGGUCUGAGAGGACAACCAGCCAGACGGGGACUGAGAUACGGCCCUGACUCCUACGGGAGGCAGCAGCAAGGAAUUUUGCGCAAUGGGCGAAAGCCUGACGCAGCGACGCCGCGUGGGGGAUGACGGCCUUCGGGUUGUAAACCCCUUUUCCCGAGGAAGAAAUAUGACGGUACUCGGGGAAUAAGUCUUGGCUAACUACGU
This 459-nucleotide ribosomal RNA is filed under the name uncultured bacterium. Its description in RNAcentral is "bacterial SSU rRNA". It matches the Rfam family "Bacterial small subunit ribosomal RNA", at positions 29 to 506 of the family's 1533-position model. The record is from RNAcentral.